CCUAAAGUUCUGAGAGCAAACAGAUUUGAUCCUGAUCUUGCUAUCAAUUAAUACUUAACUUACACAUGCAAGUCUCCGCAACCCGGUGAGAACACCCUUAAACCUUCCACAAGAUAAGGAGUUGAUAUCAGGCACAGAUAUCUGGCCCACAACAUCUAGCCUCGCCACACCCUUAAGGGUAUUCAGCAGUGAUUAAUAUUGAACAUAAGCGCCAGCUUGAUUCAGUUAAAGUAUAUAGUGCCGGCUAACACGGUGCCAGCCGCCGCGGCUACACCGCUGGGCACAAGUUGAUAACCUACGGCGUUAAGCGUGUUUUAAGUAAAAUUAAAAUUAAAUUAGAGUUAAAUUAUUAGUACAGGCGUUAAAAUCUUACUUCUUAGAAACCCAAAAACGAAAGUUACUCUAACAAACUUGAAUCCACGACAGCCGGGACACAAACUGGGAUUUGAUACCCCACUAUGCCCAGCCGUAAAAUAUUAACUUACAUCAUAAACCGCCUGAGAACUACGAGCACACGCUUAAAACUCAAAGGACUUGACGGUGUCCCAUCCAACUAGAGGAGCCUGUUCUGUAAUCGAUAAUCCCCGAUAAACCUUACCACUUUUAGCUUAUCAGUCUGUAUACCUCCGUCGAAAGCUUACCCUGUGAAUGAUCAUUAGUAAGCAAUAAGGUCUAUCCACCAAAACGUCAGGUCAAGGUGCAGCUUACGAAAUGGGAAGAAAUGGGCUACAAUUUCUAAACUAGAACAAACGAAAAGAUUUGUAUGAAAUAUAAUCAUGAAGGCGGAUUUAGUAGUAAAAAGGAAAUAGAGUGUCCUUUUUAAUCAAGCACUGGGACAUGUACACACCGCCCGUCAUCCUCUUCAAUAAUAAUAUAAUAGUCUAUAACACAUAACUAAACAUAAGAAGAGGCAAGUCGUAACAUGGUAAGUAUACUGGAAAGUGUACUUGGAUUACAAAAUAUAGCUUAAUUAAAGCAUUUCGCUUACACCGAAAAGAUAUCUGUGAAACACAUAUUAUUUUGAGCCCCAAAUUUAGCUUCUAAUAUUCUAAUGUAAGCCUUUUUCAAACAAAUAUAAAUAAAACAUUUCAACAGUUUAGUAAGUGUGACUAAAAAACCACUACAAGCUAUAAAUCAAGUACCGCAAGGGAACAUUGAAAUAGAAAUUAAAUAAACUUAAAGCACAAAAAAGUAGAGAUAGACCCUCGUACCUUUUGCAUCAUGAUCUAGUAAGAAUAAUCAAGCAAAUAUUUAAUACAGUUUGAACUCCCGAAACUAGACGAGCUACUUAAAAACAACCUGACGGGUAAACCCUUCUCUGUUGCAAAAGAGUGGGAAGAUUUUUAAGUAGAGGUGAUAUGCCUACCGAGCCUAGAGAUAGCUGGUUAUUCAAGAAAAGAAUAUAAGUUCUGCCUUAAGUCAUAAAAAUGCACAAAUCAUAAAACAACUUCUUAAGAGUUAUUCAAGUAAGGUACAGCCUACUUGAUUCAGGAUACAACCAAAAUUAUAGGGUAAUAUCUUAUAUCUGCACUAAAGUGGGCCUAAAAGCAGCCAUCUUUUAAAAAGCGUCACAGCUUAACUUCUCCAUUAAUUAAUACCAAAAAACACUUAAACCCCAUUAUUAGUAUUGAAUAAUUUUAUAAAAAUAUAAAAAAUACAAUGCUAGAACUAGUAAUAAGAAAUAUGCAUUUCUCCUAAAUGCAAGCACAAAUCAGCAAGAACUAUUCCCUGACCAAUAUUGUAAUGUAAAAUAAUAACUUAACCAGAAAAUCUUACUUCACUAAACAUUAACCUAACACAAGAACAUUUAAGGAAAGAUUAAACCAGAGAGAAGGAACUCGGCAAAUUUUAGUCUCGCCUGUUUACCAAAAACAUCGCCUCUUGAUUACCAUAAGAGGUCUAGCCUGCCCAGUGACCAAUUUAACGGCCGCGGUACCCUAACCGUGCAAAGGUAGCAUAAUCACUUGUUUCUUAAAUGGGGACUAGUAUCAAUGGCAUCACGAAGACUACACUGUCUCCCCUUUAAAAUCAAUGAAACUGAUCCCCUCGUGAAGAAGCGAGGAUAUAAAUAUAAGACGAGAAGACCCCAUGGAGCUUUAAACGAACUUCAAUUGCUCCCCUCCUUACCAUAUAAGUUGAGCACUAAUGAUAGGUAGUUUUCGGUUGGGGCGACCGCGGAGUAAAACAAAACCUCCACAAUGAAUGUAAUAAAUACUAAUAAAAGAACCACAAUUCUAAUAAUCAAAAAUUUGACAUAAAUUGACCCAAACACUUGAUCAAUGAACCAAGUUACCCUGGGGAUAACAGCGCAAUCCAUUUUAAGAGCCCUUAUCGACAAAUGGGUUUACGACCUCGAUGUUGGAUCAGGGUAUCCCAGUGGUGCAGCCGCUACUAAUGGUUCGUUGUUCAACGAUAAAA
Molecule: unclassified non-coding RNA, 2418 nt
Filed under: Leptopelis kivuensis (Kisenyi forest treefrog)
Lineage: Eukaryota; Metazoa; Chordata; Amphibia; Anura; Arthroleptidae
Description: partial contains 12S ribosomal RNA, tRNA-Val, and 16S ribosomal RNA
Rfam family: Bacterial small subunit ribosomal RNA (bases 14-963)
Source: RNAcentral